This is a long non-coding RNA of Oncorhynchus tshawytscha (Chinook salmon), 3235 nucleotides long. NCBI's taxonomy places the organism in Eukaryota, Metazoa, Chordata, Actinopteri, Salmoniformes, Salmonidae. The record is from Ensembl.
CGCCCAGCCAGACAGCGCCCCGGUUACAGUACGCCCAGCCAGACAGCGCCCCAGGAACAGAUGACAGUGCUCCAAAUAUCAAUAUUGAAAUCACCAGGGACACUUCUUCUGUGGUUAAAGGUGACAGUUUGGAUUACCAGUGUCUUCUUCAGUGGUAAGCUAAAGGUGACGGUUUGAAUAAGACUGUUCUGUUUUGGAUGUUUUAAAUCAAAUGCCACCACUUUGCUUCUGCACUUUUCCCUGUGUGACAGCCUGUCCUACACGGCCUGUCCUACACAGCCUGUGUGACACAGCCUGUCCUACAGGUCUUAAUUGUCUUGGGUGAGCUAUAUUGGGCCUUCUUUUUAAAGCCCAAAGCCCAGUCUUGACCCUGACCCACAGCUUUGCAUAACAUUCUUAAAUCUGUUGACAUACAGGUAGGUGUGUGUGUGUGUGUAUUAGUGGACAGUAUACACUGAGUGUACAAAACAUUAAGAAAACCUUCCCAAUAUUGAGUUGGACCUCCUUUUGCCCCCAGAACAGCCUCAAUUUGUUACGGGGUCUGGACUCGACAAAGGUGUCUAACGCGUUCCACAGGGAUGCCGAACCAUGUUGACUCCACUGCUUCCCACAGUCGUGUCAAGUAGGCUGGAUGUCCAUUCUUGAUCCACAGGGGAAACUGUUGAGCAUGAAAAACCCAGCAGCGUUGCAGUUCUUGACACACACCGGUGCCCCUGGUACCUACUACCAUACUUCGUUCAAAGGCAUUUAAAUAUUUUGUCCUGCCCAUUCACCCUCGGAACGUCACACAUACACAAUCCAUGUCUCAAUUGUCUAGAGGAUUAAAAAUCCUUCUUUAACAUGACUCCUCCCCUUCAUCUAUACUGAUUGAAGUGGAUUUAACAGGUGACAUCAAUAAGGGGUCAUAGCUUUCACCUGGAUUCACCUGGUCAGUCUGUCCUGAUAAGAACAGGUUUUCUUAAUGUUUUGUCCACUCACUGUAUAGAUGUGCUAUAUUCAAAGCAGGUUGUAGAUUAGCCUAUAGGGGCUCGGUCUCUCCUACACAUGUUCCAAACAUCCGCUUUAUUUAACCAUGUGACCUCCAUCAUACUGUUAGACAUUACAUGGUUGGUUAGCAGGUUUUAGUUUAAAACACUACACACAACAAACCCUGGAACAGAUCCAUUCAAAUCCUCCCUCUGUGUCACAAAUGGCAUCCUUUCCCCUGUAUAGUGCACUACUUAAGGGAUAGGGUUCAACCCAUAGGGCUCUGGUCAAAUGAAGUUUACAAUAUAGGGUUCAACCCAUAGGGCUCUGGUCAAAUGAAGUGCACUAUAUAGGGCUCUGGUCAAAUGAAGUGCACUAUAUAGGGUUCAACCCAUAGGGCUCUGGUCAAAUGAAGUGUACUAUAUAUGGUUCAACCCAUAGGGCUCUGGUCAAAUGAAGUGUACUAUAUAUGGUUCAACCCAUAGGGCUCUGAUCAAAUGAAGUGUACUAUAUAGGGCUCUGGUCAAAUGAAGUGCACUAUAUAGGGCUCUGGUCAAAUGAAGUGCACUAUAUAGGGCUCAACCCAUAGGGUUCUGGUCAAAUGAAGUGCACUAUAUAGGGUUCUGGUCAAAUGAAGUGCACUAUAUAGGGCUCAACCCAUAGGGCUCUGGUCAAAUGAAGUGCACUAUAUAGGGCUCUGGUCAAAUGAAGUGCACUAUAUAGGGUUCAACCCAUAGGGCUCUGGUCAAAUGAAGUGUACUAUAUAGGGCUCAACCCAUAGGGCUCUGGUCAAAUGAUGUGCACUAUAUAGGGCUCUGGUCAAAUGAAGUGUACUAUAUAGGGCUCUGGUCAAAUGAAGUGUACUAUAUAGGGCUCAACCCAUAGGGCUCUGGUCAAAUGAAGUGCACUAUAUAGGGCUCUGGUCAAAUGAAGUGUACUAUAUAGGGCUCUGGUCAAAUGAAGUGCACUAUAUAGGGCUCAACCCAUAGGACUCUGGUCAAAUGAAGUGCACUAUAUAGGGCUCUGGUCAAAUUAAGUGUACUAUAUAGGGUUCAACCCAUAGGGCCCUGGUCAAAUGAAGUGUACUAUAUAGGGCUCAACCCAUAGGGCCCUGGUCAAAUGAAGUGUACUAUAUAGGGUUCAACCCAUAGGGCUCUGGUCAAAUGAAGUGUACUAUAUAGGGCUCUGGUCAAAUGAAGUGUACUUUAUAGGGCUCAACCCAUAGGGCUCUGGUCAAAUGAAGGGCACUAUAUAGGGGAUAGGGUACCAUUUGGGAUGUAAAUUAGGUAUACUUUUGACAUGUUGCUAUUAGCAACAACUCCACUGAUGUACAGUCCAUGUAUGGUCAGAUCUUUAGAGUUAGAGCAGGAAACCUACUUAGAGGCUACUUGUCCCCUUCAUAAGCAAUACUUAAGGGCCUACGUCAUCCCUGUGGAGGAUCCAAAGCCCAAGCCCAGAUUAACGGGUCUGUAUGGGUCGGAUCGUUUCAAAUACUUGCUGGAAGGGCGUGGGGUUGUUGUGAUUGGGUCAGUACAUGUCAUAUUGGACAAGACUCAAGAUGAUGCUUUUACCUAUGAAGCCCUCAUGCACUGCUUAUGAAGGUGCUAUACACUGCUUAUGAAGGUGCUAUACACUGCUUAUGAAGGUGCUAUACACUGCUUAUGAAGGUGCUAUACACUGCUUAUGAAGGUGCUAUACACUGCUUAUGAAGGUGCUAUACACUGCUUAUAUUACCACCAACGAUAAUAACAUCAUCCUCAGUCUUUCAUCAAUAUUUACAAACUCGUGAUCUGUUAAAUAAUGUCAAUAACAACAACACAGUAAAACCAAAAACACAGACUAAAUUCAAAACAUCAGCCGCUCAGUAAAAAAAGCACUUCGUAAAAAUCUGAGAAACUAAAUUAAAAUUCAUCCCCAGUCUGAUUCUGACAAACACAAAGUUAAACACAUCAGUGUCCUUCAAUCCCAGUCCUGGAAACACACAGGGUGUGCAGGGUUUUGUGCCAGCCUAACACACCUCAAUCAACUUAUCAAAAGGGCUUGAUGAUUGGACGAUUGAUGGAACCAGGAUGAAAGAAAAGUGAAAUAAACAAUAUCUUGAUAUACAUUUCAACAUAUGAAUCAUCUCUAUUGACGAGAAGAGAAGGUAUAUGGAGAUGCAAAUGAAAUGAAGAUUGACUGGUCCACCGUUCACUAUCCUGACCAGGGUUCUGAUCACUUCCCCCACAUAGAUGCUGCUUUCACUGGGGGUGUCUGUUCUCUGGUCCAG